This 216-nucleotide ribosomal RNA is filed under the name uncultured Glomus. RNAcentral's name for it is "partial small subunit ribosomal RNA". It matches the Rfam family "Eukaryotic small subunit ribosomal RNA", at positions 569 to 787 of the family's 1831-position model. Lineage: Eukaryota; Fungi; Glomeromycota; Glomeromycetes; Glomerales; Glomeraceae. The record is from RNAcentral.
AGCAGCCGCGGUAAUUCCAGCUCCAAUAGCGUAUAUUAAAGUUGUUGCAGUUAAAAAGCUCGUAGUUGAAUUUCGGGGUCAGUAGGUCGGUCGUGCCACUGGUAUGCACUGGUCUCACUGAUUCCUCCUUCUUGAAGAACCGUAAUGUCAUUAACUUGGUGUUGCGGGGAAACAGGACUGUUACCUUGAAAAAAUUAGAGUGUUUAAAGCAGGCCA